GCUAAGGUAGUAGAAGAUUAAUAUACUAGGCUUAGGACUUAUGUGGUGGAAGAACUUUCCCUUUAGCA
This 68-nucleotide transfer RNA is filed under the name Semele scabra. RNAcentral describes it as "tRNA-Leu". Lineage: Eukaryota; Metazoa; Mollusca; Bivalvia; Cardiida; Semelidae. The record is from RNAcentral.